This 501-nucleotide ribosomal RNA is filed under the name uncultured bacterium. RNAcentral's name for it is "partial 16S ribosomal RNA". It matches the Rfam family "Bacterial small subunit ribosomal RNA", at positions 30 to 523 of the family's 1533-position model. The record is from RNAcentral.
AUUGAACGCUGGCGGCAGGCUUAACACAUGCAAGUCGAGCGGGGGAAGGUAGCUUGCUACCGGACCUAGCGGCGGACGGGUGAGUAAUGCUUAGGAAUCUGCCUAUUAGUGGGGGACGACAUCUCGAAAGGGAUGCUAAUACCGCAUACGUCCUACGGGCGAAAGCAGGGGAUCUUCGGACCUUGCGCUAAUAGAUGAGCCUAAGUCGGAUUAGCUAGUUGGUGGGGUAAAGGCCUACCAAGGCGACGAUCUGUAGCGGGUCUGAGAGGAUGAUCCGCCACACUGGGACUGAGACACGGCCCAGACUCCUACGGGAGGCAGCAGUGGGGAAUAUUGGACAAUGGGGGGAACCCUGAUCCAGCCAUGCCGCGUGUGUGAAGAAGGCCUUAUGGUUGUAAAGCACUUUAAGCGAGGAGGAGGCUACUUUAGUUAAUACCUAGAGAUAGUGGACGUUACUCGCAGAAUAAGCACCGGCUAACUCUGUGCCAGCAGCCGCCGUAA